AUUGAACGCUGGCGGAAUGCUUUACACAUGCAAGUCGAACGGCAGCACGGGGGCAACCCUGGUGGCGAGUGGCGAACGGGUGAGUAAUACAUCGGAACGUGCCCGGUCGUGGGGGAUAACGUAGCGAAAGUUACGCUAAUACCGCAUAAGAUCUGAGGAUGAAAGCGGGGGACCUUCGGGCCUCGCGCGAUCGGAGCGGCCGAUGUGAGAUGUGGUAGUUGGUGGGGUAAAGGCCUACCAAGCCGACGAUCCGUAGCUGGUCUGAGAGGACGACCAGCCACACUGGGACGGGGACACGGCCCAGACGCCUACGGGAGGCAGCAGUGGGGAAUUUUGGACAAUGGGCGCAAGCCUGAUCCAGCCAUUCCGCGUGCAGGACGAAGGCCUUCGGGUUGUAAACUGCUUUUGUAUGGAACGAAAAGGCUCUGGCUAAUACCUGGGGCUCAUGACGGUACCGUAAGAAUAAGCACCGGCUAACUACGUG
This 484-nucleotide ribosomal RNA is filed under the name uncultured bacterium. RNAcentral describes it as "partial 16S ribosomal RNA". It matches the Rfam family "Bacterial small subunit ribosomal RNA", at positions 29 to 507 of the family's 1533-position model. The record is from RNAcentral.